GACGAACGCUGGCGGCGUGCUUAACACAUGCAAGUCGAGCGGUAAGGCCCUUUCGGGGGGUACACGAGCGGCGAACGGGUGAGUAACACGUGGGUGACCUGCCCUCAGCUCUGGGAUAAGCCUGGGAAACCGGGUCUAAUACCGGAUAUGACUCCAUGACGCAUGUUGUGGGGGUGGAAAGCCUUGUGCGGCUGAGGAUGGGCCCGCGGCCUAUCAGCUUGUUGGUGGGGUGAUGGCCUACCAAGGCGACGACGGGUAGCCGGCCUGAGAGGGCGACCGGCCACACUGGGACUGAGACACGGCCCAGACUCCUACGGGAGGC
RNAcentral lists this ribosomal RNA (322 nucleotides) under uncultured bacterium. RNAcentral's name for it is "bacterial SSU rRNA". It matches the Rfam family "Bacterial small subunit ribosomal RNA", at positions 28 to 349 of the family's 1533-position model. The record is from RNAcentral.